Monosiga brevicollis MX1 is the source of this 82-nucleotide transfer RNA. It matches the Rfam family "tRNA". Rfam says of the family: Transfer RNA (tRNA) molecules are approximately 80 nucleotides in length. Their secondary structure includes four short double-helical elements and three loops (D, anti-codon, and T loops). Further hydrogen bonds mediate the characteristic L-shaped molecular structure. tRNAs have two regions of fundamental functional importance: the anti-codon, which is responsible for specific mRNA codon recognition, and the 3' end, to which the tRNAs corresponding amino acid is attached (by aminoacyl-tRNA synthetases). tRNAs cope with the degeneracy of the genetic code in two manners: having more than one tRNA (with a specific anti-codon) for a particular amino acid; and 'wobble' base-pairing, i.e. permitting non-standard base-pairing at the 3rd anti-codon position. Lineage: Eukaryota; Choanoflagellata; Craspedida; Salpingoecidae. The record is from Rfam.
GACAGCUUGGCCGAGUGGUUAAGGCGUUUGACUAGAAAUCAAAUGGGGUCUCCCCGCGUAGGUUCGAAUCCUGCAGCUGUCG